Molecule: ribosomal RNA, 429 nt
Filed under: bacterium
Lineage: Bacteria
Description: partial 16S ribosomal RNA
Rfam family: Bacterial small subunit ribosomal RNA
Source: RNAcentral
UGGGGAAUCUUCCGCAAUGGACGAAAGUCUGACGGAGCAACGCCGCGUGAGUGAUGACGGCCUUCGGGUUGUAAAGCUCUGUUAAUCGGGACGAAUGGUUCUUGUGCAAAUAGUGCGAGGAUUUGACGGUACCGGAAUAGAAAGCCACGGCUAACUACGUGCCAGCAGCCGCGGUAAUACGUAGGUGGCAAGCGUUGUCCGGAAUUAUUGGGCGUAAAGCGCGCGCAGGCGGAUUGGUCAGUCUGUCUUAAAAGUUCGGGGCUUAACCCCGUGAUGGGAUGGAAACUGCCAAUCUAGAGUAUCGGAGAGGAAGGUGGAAUUCCUAGUGUAGCGGUGAAAUGCGUAGAUAUUAGGAAGAACACCAGUGGCGAAGGCGACUUUCUGGACGAAAACUGACGCUGAGGCGCGAAAGCCAGGGGAGCGAACGGG